UACGUAGGGCGCAAGCGUUGUCCGGAAUUAUUGGGCGUAAAGAGCUCGUAGGCGGCCAGUUGCGUCUGCUGUGAAAUCCCGGGGCUCAACCCCGGGCGUGCAGUGGAUACGGGCUGGCUAGAGGCAGGCAGGGGGAGAACGGAAUUCCCGGUGUAGCGGUGAAAUGCGCAGAUAGUCGGGAGGAACACCGGUGGCGAAGGCGGUUCUCUGGGCCUGUACUGACGCUGAGGAGCGAAAGCGUGGGGAGCGAACAGG
RNAcentral lists this ribosomal RNA (255 nucleotides) under uncultured bacterium. RNAcentral describes it as "partial 16S ribosomal RNA". It matches the Rfam family "Bacterial small subunit ribosomal RNA", at positions 524 to 776 of the family's 1533-position model. The record is from RNAcentral.